AUGUUCGCUACCCAAUCCCGUUCUCGUGUGAACAACUGCCGCCACUCCCUCACCAAUGCCCAGAAAGGCUCCUUGAGUGCAUCCGCAUACUUUGGGCAGAUGAGAGCACUCUCGGACGAGCUAGCUGCCGCCGGGAACCCCAUAACAGAAGCAGAUCUUCUUUCUCACAUCAUUGUAGGGCUCGACAUGGACUACCAACCUCUGAUCUCGGCGCUGGACGUACGCACCGCUCCCCUCUCGGUGGAUGAUCUCUUCGGCAUGGUCUCCAACUUCGACCAGCGUGUUGAGAUGUUCCACGGGACAGGGGCAGGGGCUUUCAAGUCCUCGGCUAAUGUUGCAUCCCGAGGUCGUGGCAACAACAACAACUCCAGCCGCUACCAUAACUCCAACAGGAGUGGUGGUGGUGGAUCUCGUGGUGGCGGCGGUGGUCCUUACCAGAACGGUGGCAACGGCGGCGGGUAUGAGGAAUAUGAAAAUAAGUGUCAGAUUUGCAAGAAAAAUAACCACAUCGCCAAGGAUUGUGAUUGGCGAUAUGCCGAGAGCAACCCCAAAAAGAAAGUUGCAGCAGCAGCAGACACGUCAUACGAAGUUAACACAAACUGGUACGUCGACUCUGGGGCUACCAACCACAUCACCAACGAGCUCGAGAAGGUGACGAUGAGCGAGAAGUACCAUGGCCAAGAUCAAGUUCACAAUGCAAAUGGUUAA
Molecule: ribosomal RNA, 708 nt
Filed under: Triticum aestivum (bread wheat)
Lineage: Eukaryota; Viridiplantae; Streptophyta; Magnoliopsida; Poales; Poaceae
Description: partial small subunit ribosomal RNA
Source: RNAcentral